GGGCGGAUGUAGCCAAGUGGAUCAAGGCAGUGGAUUGUGAUCCCACCCAUGCGCGA
This 56-nucleotide transfer RNA is filed under the name Engelhardia cf. spicata CZ-2022. Its description in RNAcentral is "partial tRNA-His". The record is from RNAcentral. Lineage: Eukaryota; Viridiplantae; Streptophyta; Magnoliopsida; Fagales; Juglandaceae.